Molecule: ribosomal RNA, 406 nt
Filed under: bacterium
Lineage: Bacteria
Description: partial 16S ribosomal RNA
Rfam family: Bacterial small subunit ribosomal RNA
Source: RNAcentral
UGGGGAAUCUUGCGCAAUGGCCGAAAGGCUGACGCAGCGACGCCGCGUGUGGGAUGAAGGUCUUCGGAUUGUAAACCACUGUCGGGAGGGACGAAGCUCUGACGGUACCUCCAAAGGAAGCACCGGCUAACUCUGUGCCAGCAGCCGCGGUAAUACAGAGGGUGCGAGCGUUGUCUGGAAUCACUGGGCGUAAAGGGCGCGUAGGCGGCCUGGUAAGUCGGGGGUGAAACGCUGCGGCUCAACCGCAGCACUGCCUUCGAGACUGCCGGGCUUGAGCACGGUAGAGGCUGGUGGAAUUCCCGGUGUAGCGGUGGAAUGCGUAGAGAUCGGGAAGAACAUCGGUGGCGAAGGCGGCCAGCUGGGCCGUUGCUGACGCUGAGGCGCGACAGCGUGGGGAGCAAACAGG